GCUCACUGACGGUCUCCUGGGCAAGGCAGCUACGUGAUCCUUCCCUUGGUUCCAGCCACGGCAGGAACGUGGAGUGAAGAAUACUGACGGCUGCGGAGUCCUCUACCAGUUACUAAGACCUGUGAUGUAUAUAGAGAUCUGCCUCAAUGAUGAUGAUCAAACUGACCCCCCAACUCGUAUCCACGACCGUCCUGAGAAGGCCUGUAUGCGUCGAGCUAUGAAAUAUAAGGGGUAGGUGCACCUUUGCUGUAUAUAGGGAUCCUGAUAUGGAUCUCGUAGGAUGAUGAAAGGAUCAAUGAGAUUCUGUCCAUUGGGCCUGGUGCAGAGCUGGUACCCAGUGGAAAACAGACACGUGCCCUUCUCCCCCACCUCUCUGGAAGCAACGCUGAGAAAGGCUUUAGCCAAGUACUUAUCUCAACCGGAACUUACAGUUUGGCAUUUACUGAUUUUUCACUGCUCUUUUGCACGCGUAACUUGAAGCCUGACAGCAGUACUUGACAUUCCUUCCUGGACAAGGCUUCCCAGAAAAGUUUGGCAUUUGUUACCAUCUUGGCACGACCAAAUUCCUUCCUUUCUAAAGGUACAGCUCAAAGAUUGCCUCCUGAAGGCAUUCCACCUCCCACCCCACCCACAAUUCCUUCCUCUCUUAACCUCCUUAUUCCCCUAAGCAAUCUUUCACUCCUCUAAGUUGGGAAGAAUUUUUGACUAUGCCGUCUUAUGAACCUCUCAAUCUGUUAUUGAUAUUUGUGCCACCUGUUAUCUUCUCUGCUGCAAGCUUUUUUUAGACUGAGUCCAUGUCAGAUUUAUCUGGAUUCACAAUAUCUGGCACUAAGCAGAGCUUUAAAAAGAACUUUGUAAAAGAGAAAAAGCUAAUGAAUGAAUAAAUGUGAUUAAGAAGUAAGGAGAAAGAACCUUUAAAAACUUGGAGAAUUGUAGAAAACAUUCAGGGUUUAGCUUUGGAUACUAACCUUUGCCAUUUCAACCCACUUUUCUAUGUUUUGUGACUUCUUGUUUCUUUCAAACUUCCAAAUAUUGAUGUUCAUUUUUAUUUGUUCAUUGUAUUUGUUCAGAUCUGUGUAUCUUAAGGAGUGUGGUCUUUCUCUGAGUGAUGCACCAUAGUUAUAUACUGCCUUUCUCAACUUUAGGAAAUGUAGAGUUUAUGUUUACAUUAAUAUGAUGUAAUACUUGUGGGAGACCAACCUCGCAGUGAUUGGGUCACAUUCCCCUGCUGGGUGCUGAGGCGCUCAGGCGCAGAAAUGUGGCAGAGCUUUCCCCACCCUUCUUGGGUUCGAGGGUCGGUGUCUCGUGCAUGGGUGUGUCUUGCUACAGCCCCAUGAGUGAAGCUAUGCUCACCUGUUCCUUUGUAAUAUAACCCCUUGCCCCAUUUAGGAUAGAAUCUUCCAUGGAAGUGCCUUAUGUGUGUCCCCUUCUCUUACUGUGGGUGUGGCCUACCUAGGUGUCAGUUAACCUGCUGACAGUGGACAUCAUGAAGAUAGACUCAGCCCCCUGAAACCUGACCCCUUGCCUCAUUUGAGUAGCUUCUCCUCAAUAAAAGGGGUAAGCCAGUGCUCAUGCUCUCUCUUCCUGUGGACCCUUAAAGUCAGAGGAGCUGUCACAGUGACCCCAAAGAAAAAAGGUAUUUGUGUCUCUUGUGUGGUUAUUUUGCGUAGCCCAGUCAGCCCAGUUCAACUGGAGUAAACCCUGAGCCUUUUAGUCGCGAGAACAGAAACCCGGCAAAUACUCAUGUGUCUUUUUUUUUUUUUUGGAAGAACCCAAAGUGUAGUUCCCUUGAUAACUGGAAGUCAGCUAUUAGAGAGUUUGGCAAACAAAACACUACUUCAAUAAUGAAGAUGAAAUAAGAUUUUAGAAAACAAAAGCUUAAGAGAAUUUGUCAUCAUCGGGCACAGGAUAAUGGGACUAUUAUAGAGCAUCCUCCUAGCAGGAAAAAAAUUAUCCACAUGGAAGCCUAGAAAUGUAGGAAGACAAAAAGAAGAAGGAGAGGAAGGAACAAUAAAAUAUUGUGGAUUAUAUUUGUAUAAUAUGAAAUAUUAAAUAAGUAUACAAACAACUAUAGAAAAUUAUUGGAUAAUUUUGGAGAAAGGGAAUGUCCAUUAGGCAGAAAGAAAACAAUCCCACAUAAAAGCUCAGAAAUGAAGGAAUGAAUUGAGAGCAAUGGAAGGCAUAAGUAUGAGGGCAAAUGUACAUCAAUAUUAAUUGUAUACCCCAAUAAUGAUGAUGUUCUAUGUAGUUCAAAAACAUAUAGACUCAAAAUACCUGAAAACAAUGGCAUUUGAUUUUCACAGAGAAAGAAAAUGGAGCUAAAGCAUUUUAAAGUUGCAAUAUUGCCUUGCAAACAAGUUAAAUGUUAAUUUAUGGUAAAU
RNAcentral lists this long non-coding RNA (2381 nucleotides) under Marmota monax (woodchuck). The record is from RNAcentral. Lineage: Eukaryota; Metazoa; Chordata; Mammalia; Rodentia; Sciuridae.